This 476-nucleotide ribosomal RNA is filed under the name uncultured bacterium. RNAcentral describes it as "partial 16S ribosomal RNA". It matches the Rfam family "Bacterial small subunit ribosomal RNA", at positions 30 to 507 of the family's 1533-position model. The record is from RNAcentral.
UUGAACGCUGGCGGCAUGCCUUACACAUGCAAGUCGAACGGUGACAGGUUAAGCUGACGAGUGGCGAACGGGUGAGUAAUGUAUCGGAACGUGCCCAGUCGUGGGGGAUAACUGCUCGAAAGAGCAGCUAAUACCGCAUACGACCUGAGGGUGAAAGCGGGGGAUCGCAAGACCUCGCGCGAUUGGAGCGGCCGAUAUCAGAUUAGGUAGUUGGUGAGGUAAAGGCUCACCAAGCCGACGAUCUGUAGCUGGUCUGAGAGGACGACCAGCCAAACUGGGACUGGGACACGGCCCAGACUCCUACGGGAGGCAGCAGUGGGGAAUUUUGGACAAUGGGCGCAAGCCUGAUCCAGCCAUGCCGCGUGCGGGAAGAAGGCCUUCGGGUUGUAAACCGCUUUUGUCAGGGAAGAAAAGGUUCUGGCUAAUACCUGGGACUCAUGACGGUACCUGAAGAAUAAGCACCGGCUAACUACGUG